Molecule: transfer RNA, 75 nt
Filed under: Angulomastax meiospina
Lineage: Eukaryota; Metazoa; Arthropoda; Insecta; Orthoptera; Eumastacidae
Description: tRNA-Ala
Rfam family: tRNA (bases 11-75)
About the family: Transfer RNA (tRNA) molecules are approximately 80 nucleotides in length. Their secondary structure includes four short double-helical elements and three loops (D, anti-codon, and T loops). Further hydrogen bonds mediate the characteristic L-shaped molecular structure. tRNAs have two regions of fundamental functional importance: the anti-codon, which is responsible for specific mRNA codon recognition, and the 3' end, to which the tRNAs corresponding amino acid is attached (by aminoacyl-tRNA synthetases). tRNAs cope with the degeneracy of the genetic code in two manners: having more than one tRNA (with a specific anti-codon) for a particular amino acid; and 'wobble' base-pairing, i.e. permitting non-standard base-pairing at the 3rd anti-codon position.
Source: RNAcentral
AACUAUAAAUAGGGUUAUAGUUAAAUAUAACAUUUGAGUUGCAUCCAAAAAGUAUUGAUUCAAUCAAUUAACCUU